Molecule: long non-coding RNA, 625 nt
Filed under: Homo sapiens (human)
Lineage: Eukaryota; Metazoa; Chordata; Mammalia; Primates; Hominidae
Description: LNC_000720
Source: RNAcentral
CGGCUAGGUCUAGAUGCAGCAAUGGAAACUUCCUGAGGGAGGGCAGAAUCGUCUUCUUCCUCUUUUUCUUCCUUGGGAUCUUUAUCAGUUGUUACUUUUUCUAUGCAUAGGAGUCGCGGACUCUUCUUGCCCUGAACUGGAGACGGGGACUUCGCGGCCUGGGGCUGCUGCCCGGGGACGUCGGGAGGCCUGGCGCUGGGGCUGCUCCUCCGCCGGCGGGGAUACUCGGCCUUCCUCCGGCGGGACACAGCUGCGGCGGCGGCGGCCGCAGCGGCCCGGCCUCGGUCCCGACCUCCCCUCAGCACGCGGCUGCUAGUGGUCCCUGCAGGCGCCGCCGCGACCGCCUCAGGGGGCCGUUGUUGGGGCUCCUCCGGAGCCGCCUUGGCCGCCUCUCCCCCUUCCUGGUCCUGCUGCUCCGGGGGUCUCGGCUCUUCCGUCUCCCCCGGCAUCGGGGCUUGUCCGUCCCCCACCCCCUAGUCCUAGGCGGCGGAGGCGGAGGCGGCGGCCUCGGCGCUGCUCCCCCCGCCCCCUCGCCUCCCGAAGCCUGCGGCUCACUCUCACCCUGCGCUCCUCUUUCCCCCCUCCCCUCCGCCCGGCUCCGAGGGCGCCCCCCCCACCCCCUGCC